UGGUGGGAUACUACCCUCGUUGUAUGAACACUCUAACCCUCGCCGGCAAUCACGGCGGGAGACAGUGUCAGGUGGGCAGUUUGACUGGGGCGGUCGCCUCCUAAAAGGUAACGGAGGCGCCCAAAGGGUCCUUCAGAAUGGUUGGAAAUCAUUCGCAGAGUGUAAAGGCAUAAAGGAGCUUGACUGCGAGACCUACAAGUCGAGCAGGGACGAAAGUCGGGCUUAGUGAUCCGGUG
RNAcentral lists this ribosomal RNA (236 nucleotides) under Ligilactobacillus salivarius. RNAcentral's name for it is "Lactobacillus salivarius partial 23S ribosomal RNA". It matches the Rfam family "Bacterial large subunit ribosomal RNA", at positions 2190 to 2425 of the family's 2925-position model. The record is from RNAcentral. Lineage: Bacteria; Bacillati; Bacillota; Bacilli; Lactobacillales; Lactobacillaceae.